CAGUCGCCGCGGUAAUACGGAGGGUGCAAGCGUUAAUCGGAAUUACUGGGCGUAAAGCGCGCGCAGGCGGUUUGUUAAGUCAGAUGUGAAAUCCCCGAGCUUAACUUGGGAACUGUAUUUGAAACUGGCAAGCUAGAGUCUUGUAGAGGGGGGUAGAAUUCCAGGUGUAGCGGUGAAAUGCGUAGAGAUCUGGAGGAAUACCGGUGGCGAAGGCGGCCCCCUGGACAAAGACUGACGCUCAGGUGCGAAAGCGUGGGGAGCAAACAGGAUUAGAUACCCCUGUAGUCCCUGUCUCUUAUAA
Molecule: ribosomal RNA, 301 nt
Filed under: uncultured bacterium
Lineage: Bacteria
Description: partial 16S ribosomal RNA
Rfam family: Bacterial small subunit ribosomal RNA
Source: RNAcentral